CGAACCGGGGGAACUGAAACAUCUAAGUACCCCGAGGAAAAGAAAUCAACCGAGAUUCCCCCAGUAGCGGCGAGCGAACGGGGAGGAGCCCAGAGCCUGAAUCAGCAUGUGUGUUAGUGGAAGCGUCUGGAAAGGCGCGCGAUACAGGGUGACAGCCCCGUACACAAAAGCGCAUGUGCUGUGAGCUCGAUGAGUAGGGCGGGACACGUGGUAUCCUGUCUGAAUAUGGGGGGACCAUCCUCCAAGGCUAAAUACUCCUGACUGACCGAUAGUGAACCAGUACCGUGAGGGAAAGGCGAAAAGAACCCCGGCGAGGGGAGUGAAAAAGAACCUGAAACCGUGUACGUACAAGCAGUGGGAGC
This 362-nucleotide ribosomal RNA is filed under the name Salmonella enterica subsp. enterica serovar Tennessee. RNAcentral describes it as "bacterial LSU rRNA". It matches the Rfam family "Bacterial large subunit ribosomal RNA", at positions 180 to 580 of the family's 2925-position model. Lineage: Bacteria; Pseudomonadati; Pseudomonadota; Gammaproteobacteria; Enterobacterales; Enterobacteriaceae. The record is from RNAcentral.